CACUGCUCUGAUGUUUACGGAAGACAGGUUAUAAAUAACCACUGGGAGUCAGUCCGACAUACAGCAGGCAGAACGAGAGUUUUAAGAAUCAGAAGAACACUCGCUCAUUCACCGCGAAUUUAUAACUUAAUACUUCGCCAACUGGCGCAGGCGUAGUACACGAGGAACCGCCCCUGCACUGCAGAGGAGGAGCCGUGACAUAUGCUACCUGCCACCUUUGAUGUAAUUUGUCAAACUGAGAAAACUCAAGUCACAUGACAAAAGGUUGUUGUCUUCCCAUUUUUUUGGCAUCAAAGUUAUGUCCUUUACCACUACAUGAGUGUUGCUGCUUUCUAGAGGGAGAUGGCGAACAGCAAUGCCAAGCUGUGUGUGUCUGUUUUGGGUUCAUUGUGGAGAUGAGCUGGAGGUUGAGGGAGCUUCAAUCCUGGGGACUGAUGGAAAGGAAGAUGCUAUAUAGAGUCUGGUGGGGCUGCUGCUGAGAGGAGUGGGAGACAAACUCAAUGAGGAGGAGGAAGCUUUUGUGAAUGAUGAUGAGGAAGUCGACUGAGCCAGAGGGAUUUUCCCCAUUCUAUACCCCCAUUGUCUUCUUCCCGAUUAUACACUUUUUUCCCAAAGUAUGCACUUGCGCAUUUUCUGUCAUGGAUCAGAAUUUGAUUGGCGUAAUUAUUGGCUAAAGGGAGUUCCCACCAUUGUUAAAUCUAUGACGGGAAAGGGUGGAUAAUUGGGAUCUAGCUCUCUAACCCCAGCCCUAACCCCUAGAGAAGUUUCAACUCAGGGUAAUGUAUUGCUAUUAUUGCAUGCCCAAUUAAACAUUGAUUUUGCACAAAGAAACAUGUACAUAGACAUAUAGAUGACUGUCUUCCAGAGCCAUAGGAUAUGAGGGAAACUGUUCAUCUCAAGCCCCAUUCCAUCUUUUGAAUUAUAAAUGUAUAUGAUAUAAGAAUGUAUAUGAAACUACAGUAUUCAGGUGUUUUUGUUACAUUUUAAUUGGGACUAUAGGAAUGUAAAAAAUAGACAAAUCUGUUGAAUGAAACCUAUUUACUUGUAUAAUUUUACAUUAUAUUUAGUUAUUUACUUUAUUUUUUAUUGUAAGAAUAAUGAUGAUGAUGAGACUGCGUACCAUUGAUCUAGCCUUGUCACGCCGUGAUCUGUUACACCUGUCCUUGUGCUUGUCUCCUCCUCCCCCCAGGUGUCGCCAAUCUUCCCUAUUAUCACCUGUGUAUUUAUACCUGUGUUCUCUGUCUUGUUUGUUGCCAGUUUGUCUUGUUCGUUCAAGCUUACCAGCGGUUUUCCUGUCAGCGGCUAUUGUUUCCAACCCUUGCUUUGCUAGUCCUCCUGGUUUUGACCGAUGCCUGACAUCUCUGCCUGAGCCUGCACCUUUGCUCCACCUCUGGAUUACUGAACCCUGCCUGACCCUGAGUCUGCCUGCCGUCCUGUACCUUUGCCUAACCCUUGAUUUUCGACCCCUGCCUGCCUUGACCUGUCUUUGCAUGUCCCUGUUUGCUACAAUAAACAGGGUUACUUCGACAGUCUGCAUCUGGGUCUUACCUUGAUUCUUGAUAAGCCUAUACUGUCAGAUCCAAAUAAUGUUUACAUAAAGCAACAUUGCCAAAGAUGUCAACAUUCCAGACCUCCAGGACAUGUCCUCAUUUGAUCCAGAGAUGGAACCACUGGUUAAAUCGUGACUGGACCAAAGACUGGGGCAGGUACUGUAGCCUACGUAUGCUGUAUGGAAGUGCUACAAUUCUGAGUGGUAUAUGGUCAAACGGUAAUUCUGUGUGCAGAGUCUAUGCAAUGGAAUGUCUGCCUUAUUUGUUUAAGAAUAAUUAAACAAAUUCCAUGUUAUGAUUAUAGUGUUCAAUGUUAACACUGAUUUAGACAGCUUUGUGACUGUUUGAUUUGUUAUUAAUUUAUUGAAUAAAAAUAGAUCUACUGGGCUCCUGAGUGGCGCAGAGGUCUAAGGCACUGCAUCUCAGUGCUAGAGGUGUCACUACAGACCCUGGUUUCGAAUCCAGGCUGUUUCACAACUGGCCAUGAUUGGGAGUCUGCACAAUUGGCCCAGCGUCAUCCGGGUU
Long non-coding RNA from Salmo salar (Atlantic salmon), 2075 nucleotides. RefSeq lists it as uncharacterized. Lineage: Eukaryota; Metazoa; Chordata; Actinopteri; Salmoniformes; Salmonidae. The record is from RefSeq and is a predicted model, not a curated record.